This 381-nucleotide long non-coding RNA is filed under the name Gossypium barbadense (sea-island cotton). RNAcentral describes it as "long non-coding RNA (GBAR_LNC009008)". Lineage: Eukaryota; Viridiplantae; Streptophyta; Magnoliopsida; Malvales; Malvaceae. The record is from RNAcentral.
UUUAUGUUUGUUUUUACUUAUUAUGAUCAGUUUAAUCGAACAAAACACUUGAUUUCGAGAUCAAUAGCUUAAACACUAAAGAAAAUUAAAAUGGAAUGUAAACUAAUAAAGUAUUAAUAGAUGCUUAGAGCAAUGCAUUUUUCAUUUCACAUCUAAGAUUAUGUGUAAAUCUUAGUCUUAUUUAGUAUAGUAACCUGGGCUAAAUUACAAUUUUAUCAUUUUUAUGAGAGCUAAAAUGCAAUAAUAUUAUUUUUAGAUUUUCCUUGAUAUAUACAUGAAACUAUUUGAAGAAGCUUUAGACUUUCAUUUCGAUGCAUUUGAAUUUACUUGGAAAAGUUCUGUUUGGUUGCCGAGAAAAUGAGGAUGAGAUCGGGGAGAAAG